Molecule: ribosomal RNA, 1432 nt
Filed under: Lacticaseibacillus rhamnosus
Lineage: Bacteria; Bacillati; Bacillota; Bacilli; Lactobacillales; Lactobacillaceae
Description: bacterial SSU rRNA
Rfam family: Bacterial small subunit ribosomal RNA
Source: RNAcentral
AGUUCUGAUUAUUGAAAGGUGCUUGCAUCUUGAUUUAAUUUUGAACGAGUGGCGGACGGGUGAGUAACACGUGGGUAACCUGCCCUUAAGUGGGGGAUAACAUUUGGAAACAGAUGCUAAUACCGCAUAAAUCCAAGAACCGCAUGGUUCUUGGCUGAAAGAUGGCGUAAGCUAUCGCUUUUGGAUGGACCCGCGGCGUAUUAGCUAGUUGGUGAGGUAACGGCUCACCAAGGCAAUGAUACGUAGCCGAACUGAGAGGUUGAUCGGCCACAUUGGGACUGAGACACGGCCCAAACUCCUACGGGAGGCAGCAGUAGGGAAUCUUCCACAAUGGACGCAAGUCUGAUGGAGCAACGCCGCGUGAGUGAAGAAGGCUUUCGGGUCGUAAAACUCUGUUGUUGGAGAAGAAUGGUCGGCAGAGUAACUGUUGUCGGCGUGACGGUAUCCAACCAGAAAGCCACGGCUAACUACGUGCCAGCAGCCGCGGUAAUACGUAGGUGGCAAGCGUUAUCCGGAUUUAUUGGGCGUAAAGCGAGCGCAGGCGGUUUUUUAAGUCUGAUGUGAAAGCCCUCGGCUUAACCGAGGAAGUGCAUCGGAAACUGGGAAACUUGAGUGCAGAAGAGGACAGUGGAACUCCAUGUGUAGCGGUGAAAUGCGUAGAUAUAUGGAAGAACACCAGUGGCGAAGGCGGCUGUCUGGUCUGUAACUGACGCUGAGGCUCGAAAGCAUGGGUAGCGAACAGGAUUAGAUACCCUGGUAGUCCAUGCCGUAAACGAUGAAUGCUAGGUGUUGGAGGGUUUCCGCCCUUCAGUGCCGCAGCUAACGCAUUAAGCAUUCCGCCUGGGGAGUACGACCGCAAGGUUGAAACUCAAAGGAAUUGACGGGGGCCCGCACAAGCGGUGGAGCAUGUGGUUUAAUUCGAAGCAACGCGAAGAACCUUACCAGGUCUUGACAUCUUUUGAUCACCUGAGAGAUCAGGUUUCCCCUUCGGGGGCAAAAUGACAGGUGGUGCAUGGUUGUCGUCAGCUCGUGUCGUGAGAUGUUGGGUUAAGUCCCGCAACGAGCGCAACCCUUAUGACUAGUUGCCAGCAUUUAGUUGGGCACUCUAGUAAGACUGCCGGUGACAAACCGGAGGAAGGUGGGGAUGACGUCAAAUCAUCAUGCCCCUUAUGACCUGGGCUACACACGUGCUACAAUGGAUGGUACAACGAGUUGCGAGACCGCGAGGUCAAGCUAAUCUCUUAAAGCCAUUCUCAGUUCGGACUGUAGGCUGCAACUCGCCUACACGAAGUCGGAAUCGCUAGUAAUCGCGGAUCAGCACGCCGCGGUGAAUACGUUCCCGGGCCUUGUACACACCGCCCGUCACACCAUGAGAGUUUGUAACACCCGAAGCCGGUGGCGUAACCCUUUUAGGGAGCGAGCCGUCUAAGGU